RNAcentral lists this long non-coding RNA (596 nucleotides) under Homo sapiens (human). RNAcentral describes it as "HSALNT0354999". The record is from RNAcentral. Lineage: Eukaryota; Metazoa; Chordata; Mammalia; Primates; Hominidae.
CUUGCAGCGAGCCGAGAUUGCGCCACUGCACUCCAGCCUGGGUGGCAAAGCCAGACUCCAUCUCAAAAGAAAACAAAAAACAAAAACAAAAUGUUCAGCAAGAGCUAUUUUGAGUAUUGCUUAAAAGCCAGUGCAUCUGAAUCAUCAAUUGACCUGCGAUAAGGAUGGACAGUUAACUAAACCACCUAGUGCCCUGGCUUUCCCUGAGAACCGUUCCCAUACAGCACAGCAAAGCGGGAAGUGCGUGCAAGCCACAUCAGAUCCUGGCUUCAGCUGGGCAGACUUCUAGGCCUGAGCCGUUGCCACUGCCCCAUGUAAGCUCGAGGAGGGAGAGAUGUCCGUCUUCUUCUCUGAUGAGUCCCCAACCCUUGAACCGCUCCUAGCACACAGCAGGUGCUCAAGCUGAAAGUCCGCACAGACCCCUUGGGAGAGGCCUUGAGCACGCAGCAUCUCAUCUCAUCAGAGCAUCUCCUUUCGUGUGCGUUUGAUUAAACACCUGGAAAACUGGCUUAUCUAGAAUUUACAAUGCAGUUUGGUCAUUUAAAAGUUAGCCUGGGCCGGCGCGGUGGCUCACACCUGUAAUCCCAGCACUUUGG